UAGGCCUACGGGAGGCAGCAGUAGGGAAUCUUCCACAAUGGACGAAAGUCUGAUGGAGCAACGCCGCGAGAGUGAAGAAGGGUUUCGGCUCGUAAAGCUCUGUUGGUAGUGGAGAAAGAUAGAGGUAGUAAAUGGCCUUUAUUUGACGGUAAUUACUUAGAAAGUCACGGCUAACUACGUGCCAGAAGCCGCGGUAAUACGUAGGUGGUAAGCGUUGUCCGGAUUUUUUGGGCGUAAAGCGAGUGCAGGUGGGUGCAG
RNAcentral lists this ribosomal RNA (258 nucleotides) under uncultured bacterium. Its description in RNAcentral is "partial 16S ribosomal RNA". It matches the Rfam family "Bacterial small subunit ribosomal RNA", at positions 334 to 584 of the family's 1533-position model. The record is from RNAcentral.